AAACUCUUUAAAAACAGAAAUGGGGGUUUAAUGAAAAGUAUGUUUAAUACCUGCUUAAAAGUUGAUAUUUUGAAAAUGUACUUUCAGUUAAUUUCAUCAAUACAGCAAGUCAGUUCCUGACGAGCUAAAACCUAAAAGUGCUAUUUAGACAGGUUGUGAGAGUUUCGACUCUCCAACAUCUCCUACUGAGGGAUCUGGAACCGUGUGUUUUGGUGAGGGGGAGUGCAGGCGAUCAGACUGUCUACUGACCUGAUAAGCCUCUGGAGGGAUUUCCUCUCUGAGGCUGGGGCUGAACCACACACACAUAUAGUAAAUCAGAAUGCUCCCGGCUGAGCAGAUGUAGAAGGCAAAGAGCGGCUUUUGUAGGAGAUGGUUUUUCCUGAGGAGUCUCAGGAAAUAAAGUCUGUACUCCACCUUAUUUAGUAACUGUUUGGUAUUUGCCCCCCAGGUAAGAUUAUUCUGUAUUUCCAUUCUCAGAAAACAGAAGGCUGACUCCCCUCUCCACACAACAGAUGAAUAUCUGUUUUUCUCUUCUCAAAGUCAAUACCCAGCUCCUUAGUUUUGCUGCUGUUGCAGAUUAUUGACUCUGCUCGAUCCAGUAAGCUCGCUCUCUCUAGCCCCUGUGAUUAACCUGAGCAGAGCGGUGUCAUCUGCAGACUUAAUGAUGCUGUUGCUGGGUCGAUAGGGGUACAAUAUAAGCGGAUUGUGAAAGUGAACUCAGCACACACUCUUGUGGAGAACUGAUGUUGAUACUGGGUGCAGUGGAGAUAUAAGAGGCCAUUCUGAUCUUGAUAAGAAGGUCAAGAAAACUGUAUUUACUCAAAAUAUCUUGGUCUGAUGUUAAAAUUUGUUAGAUAAAUUAAACUUUCUUAAGUCACUUAAGGCCAUUAAGAUCUAAUAAGUUAAAAAAAUUAACAUCAAUAGUGGCACAUAAAAAUUAAAUCUCAAUUGCAAUAAUUAAUUUUAACAAUGUUUAUAGUCAAAAUUUACCCCUACCUCACCCUGGUAAAGUUAUAUACACACCUAUACUAAUUUUACAUUACCUGCAUGUUGACCAUAGCAUGGACAUAAGUUUAGCAGGGCAACUAUUUUUACAGAUAUCUGGAAUAUCUGUAAAAAUAAAAUUGUAACAAAUUAGAGGAAAACCAGAAUAACCUUAAAAGAGAGAACAUGGUAAGUAAUUUCAAUCUGACUUAUUAAACUGUACAUUCUAGCAUUAAAAUAUUACUACUUGCAGACAGGGGUCUUGAACAAAAGUUCAUCCAACAUCCCCCAUUUUUUUUCCUGAUGUGUUGCAGUAACAGCUGGACCAUUGCAACACUCUAAAAAGGCAUAUCCAACAGAUGUUACCCUCUAAAAAAAGGAAUUGUUUGACUCCCUUAGUUUGAAACUCAUUUGGGGAGCAUGGCUAAGAAUUUAGGGAGAUACCACAGCUAACAAGAUAUUAAACAUUGGGCAAUAAAAAAAAAAUGUAUGAGACACACUUAUAAGUAAUCUGCCAUCUUUGUCCACUCUGUAAAAAGGCAGCUGUUUAUUGUUAUGUUAAGUCUUACUUCAUAAGGCCACUCAUGACCAUUUAAUGUUUUCAGAUUGUAGUUUUGCAAGUUUUAUUUAGCUUAGAAUCCAUAUUAUAAGAAACUGAAGCCCUUCCCACAUAAAGACAAACAUAUAUUUAGAGAUUUUACAGUGACAGGUUGUUAUUAAAGUGGCGCUAUUCAUAGUUUUUGGCACAGCUCAUAAUAGCAACUUCCUCUGUUGCUCUUUAAAAGCGUCAAGCAGUCGAAACUCUAAUUCAGAUAGGCCAAGCAGUGUGACUAACUGAGUUUGUGUACCCUGCUACCACUCUGUCCAAGUAUGACAUAGCUGGAAGUGAUGAGGAUGAAUCUAUCUUAAGUAGAUUUUAUGAGCCAGUAAAGAUUCAUUGCAACCGCUGAUACUCUGAAACAUAGUGCCUUGCAAAGGUUUUAAACCCUGAGAAUUGAAGGGUUUCAUCACCAAACAACUACAACCUAUUCAAUAAAUCUGAAUAUUAUUGAAACGCUGAUAAAUUUUUCAUCCUUUGAGGAAGGAGUCUGGGUGUCAUCUUCCCCAAACUUCUUUUGGCCUACAUGUAAAAUAUAAUAUGUGGAGGAUCACUGCAUGCCACCCUGAACACAUGGUAGUGGCAGCAUCAUUUUGAAAGUUUUGGCAGCAGAGGCAAGGAAGCUGGUUGGAGUUUAUUAUUUGAAUGAUAUGUGGAAAAUGGAAUGAAAUUCAACCUCUUCUAAUGAAACCAAAUAUUUAUGAUGGAAACUCAGUCAUUCUUUAUGCAAAUGUUCCCCUUUUUAAAUAAAGGUCAGAGUCAGUGACUAUAUAAAACCAGAAAUGUGUCAUACAACUGUUAUAUUUUGUUGUAAUGUUUUCCCUGUGUAAAAUGUAUAACACUUUGCACAUUCAAUAAAAAUACUCAGUUUUGUGAGCUUUUAAAAUUGCAUCUGCUUUGCAAGUAAUCAUCAACUGGGUUUUGUUUAUCUAUACCCAUUAAGAUAUUUUUAUUCUGUAUAAUAUCUGUUUUUGCAUGUGUGCAUAUGUUGAUAGUUAGCCCUGCUGAUUACUGAAGCUUUUCAUGGUUGUCUGGGUUAGUAAAAGACUGUAGCAUAUGUGCAAGCAUGAGGUCACUCACAAGGGCCAAAAUGACUUAAACGGAUGCUGAAUCAUCUAACAUGGGCAAAGAGCAGCAGAGGUGGACCGGAACGCAGAAAAACAGUCAAAACAAAAGUCAACAGUAGGUAAAAACACCAGCUGCCCUCUUUACAAAUAAGAAACUGUUCUUUGAGGUUCACAGCAAGCUAAGGGUCUGUUUAAAUAAUCACAAGAAGUAUUUAAAUUGAGUGAAAGGACCUGAAAGAAGAAAGUUGGCGACGUUAUCUUUGAAGAACAAGUAAAAAGGUUCAAAGCAGGCUCCCACAAGAAGCCCACAAGCAUGUUAUGCAUAGCAUUGCGUUUUUGAUACAAUCUAAAUAUGAAUAGAUUGGCCAAACUAAAUGUUUUUUCUGUGGUGUAAGAUUCUGAAUAUGUGUUGUGUUGCUGGAGCUACAAACACAGAGAGCAGCUGAAUGUAAGUAUGACCAGAUUCUUGCUGCAGGGUAAAUGUCUUUUCCUAAGUUGUUGCAAAGUUCUUCCGUCACCGUUCCAUCAUCCCUUCAUGUUUUUUUUAACUAGGUCAUGGAAAACAGCUAAAGGAAAGUCAAUCAAAGUUGUUUUUUUUUGUUGUUGUUUUUUUAUUAUUUUAUUUUACUAUUUAGGCAGGUGCAAAAUUUUACCUUUGGGAUGAUGUUAAACGACAAAAAUUUGACUGAAUCAUAGAUGACACAUGUAGAAAUCAGGCCGUGAGUAAUGCAAUCUAAAUGGGCAUGUUGAUUUGAUUUUUUCCCACUUUGCAUGCUGUUUAUCUCUAAAUCCUUGAGAAAAUCAGAUUUCCAAGUGGAAUGAAGCCCUUAUUUAUGGGUCAGAUCUUGACCGAUCUCUGUCUAAACAUAUAAAUAGUUAUAUUGAGUGAAUUAGGACAUGGGUUCUGAUGAGACUCAUUUGUCAAAUUCAAAGCAACUUUUGAAAAUAAACGUUCAGAAGGCAUUAAAAAAUAUCAUUAAGACUACAUUUCACUAUUAAAAACGUUUUUUAUUGGUCUGUUGCGCAAUAUUCUAAUCUUAAAUUAUGCAUUUUCAGAAAAUUAUAACUAAUAAAAAUAAAGGGCUUAGAAUCAUCAAUCUUUGCGUAAAUAAUAUAAUAUCUUUCAUUUCAUAAAAUAAGCUACUAAAAUAUAAACAUCUCAAUUAUAGUAUAUUUCAUUAGGUAACUAGUUAAAGGAGCUAAAACCAAAAAUGUAUUUGGAAUGCUGAUCAACCAGUGUGCAACUUCAAGAGAGAAAUAUUUUACACAAUUCUAAAUAUUUGAAUUUAAUGUAAAAGACCACCACAAAGUAAUGCAUAACUAUGAAAGCUAAAAAGUGGGAAACUUUGCAAGGCACUACAGGUGAGAGUUCAUCUUACAAACAGUGAAAGUUUGCAUAGGUUAUCAGAAGUUUUUCCAGAAAGAAACAGUCUAUAACAAAUGUCACCAAAUAGUUGAAGCCAGUGGACUUGGGAAAAACCAUUAAAGAACCUCAAGACAAAUUGCAGAUAGACAAGUCAAUUAGAUCAUUUUAAAGGGAGGCAGUAAGAAAGUGUUUGAGUAUGAAGUAAGUAUGGAGACGAGAAAGAAUGCUUUGUGAGCCUCUUUUUCUACCAGACUGCUAGUUUAACUGCCAACAAUGCAUCUGUUCCUGAACACAGCAGUAAGUAUGGAAAAUCCCCUGGCAGAAAGAUUCUCAAUCAGAGCGAGAUAAACACACAUGACUGGAAACUAGGACAUGAACUCUGUUUGCCCUCCUAGGUAACUCUGACCUGUGCCUCUAAGGUUUAUCCCCACAUAUGAACGGGGUCAUUUUCAUCCAUCAGAUCCUCUCAUGCUUCCCUUCUGUUUUUGUUUUCAUUCCGCAGAAGCAAAGGGCUCCUUAUGCCACAUUCAAGAAUUUUAAACUAAUCAAUAAUCCCCUAAUGGCUUUGGUUAUUGAGGUGCAGGCCAGUUUCUAAUUUUAUUUUUGCUUUUCCUAUAGUCACCAUUUCACUCAGCACUCACUCUUGUGAGGCCCCGAAGCAGGAGAAGACGAGAGACGGAAAGGAUUUUAUGGGAAAAUGAUGUUUUCCAAACUUUGACCUCAAUUUUUUUUUUCUUCUCUUUGUAAAGUACCUUGUGUUGUGACCCAGUCAUUUUUUCCAUGCUACUUUCUGCUUCUAAUUUUCCAUGUGGAGAUGUGCUUGGACAGACAAUGGAAUAUAUCAGGCAAGAGGGGUGAAUGGAUGCUGAUAGAUUCUAGCAAAAAAAAUGACAGAAAGACGUCUACUCUCUCCAGUAUGAUCUCAUCGUGUGUGACAUACGAAGUCUGGCGAGACACGUUUGCUAUGUUUAUUAAAUCUGAGCAUAUAUUGAAGUUUUAGAUUUUUAGUCAGUGUUUAUAUUCUUCUCUCUGCUGUCGGUGCCCUUGGAUGUUAAAGGUAACAAGAGUUGAUGUUCCACCACAUCCCACCUGUCCAAAAACAUAUCAUUGCAAUUCUAUUCACUUUGGGGCACACGGUUCCGAUGACAUCAGCUGCAUGACCGCACCAGGCAGUUUUCUGAUGGCCAACACUGGAAGGUUUAGUCGGGAAGGUGCAGCUUCAUUUGGUCUUCAUCAAGCGUAACCAGGAGGUGCAUUUAGAGGUGCAGGUUCUCCAUGACUCCAGAUGGUUCUCUCACCUCCAGUUGUAACCCAGCUUCAGCUUAAUCAUUGUUUUCUACCAAUCUCAGUUUGAGUACUUGUCUUCCUCCUGCAGUCUGUCCUAAUUUGAUUAACCUCUUCCUGGAUUCCUGGAUCGUCCUCCUGUGCCACUGAUCUCACCUGGGUAAGUUGCAGUCAGUCCAUGUCCUCCUGGGAUCUGACUCAUGCUUCACUGAUUUCUCCAGGCUCAUCUUUGCCUGUCCCACAGCGCUUCUUGGAUUGUCUCAUUGUAUCAUUGCUCUGAAUCCCUACUCGUUUGUCCACUCUCCACUGCCUUACCUGCCGCUUCUUUUCCUGGAAACACCAACAAGUAACCAAUAUUGACAGAACUACUCACCUGCUUUCAACCAAUCUCAGCUUUAGUGGAAAUAUAUACCAUCUUCAUGAUCAGCAGCAAGCCCAGCUCUUACUCUUCCUCAGCCUGCACAUCUUCCAUUAUUCUGCACACCCAUAUUAAUCAAUUACUCUCAAUGUGGACCCAGCUGGUUUCCCUUUCCUGCCACCGUUUCCACAGCUAGAUCCUGUUAUGCUCAUAAUAAACUCUUUUCACUUA
Xiphophorus hellerii (green swordtail) is the source of this 5888-nucleotide long non-coding RNA. RefSeq lists it as uncharacterized. NCBI's taxonomy places the organism in Eukaryota, Metazoa, Chordata, Actinopteri, Cyprinodontiformes, Poeciliidae. The transcript is spliced from 2 exons. The record is from RefSeq and is a predicted model, not a curated record.